This 292-nucleotide unclassified non-coding RNA is filed under the name rhizosphere metagenome. RNAcentral's name for it is "partial ribosomal RNA internal transcribed spacer region". The record is from RNAcentral.
GUAGGUGAACCUGCGGAAGGAUCAUUAUUGAAAUAAAUCUGGCGGGUUGCUGCUGGUUCUCUAGGGAGCAUGUGCACACUUGUCAUCUUUAUAUCUCCACCUGUGCACCUUUUGUAGACCUGGAUCUCUCUCUGAAUGCUAGCCAUUCGGGAUUGAGGAUUGACUUCAUGUCUCUCCUUCCAUUUCCAGGCCUAUGUUUCUUCAUAUACUCUCAUGUAUGUUAUAGAAUGUAAUCAAUGGCCUUUGUGCCUAUAAACCUAUACAACUUUCAGCAACGGAUCUCUUGGCUCUC